AAGCCGGUGAAGGUCAACCGUGAGGUUGGCUGGAGGUAUCGGAAGUGAGAAUGCUGACAUGAGUAACGAUAAACAGUGUGAGAAACACUGUCGCCGAAAGACCAAGGGUUCCUGCGUAAAGCUAAUCUGCGCAGGGUUAGUCGGCCCCUAAGGCGAGGCUGAAAAGCGUAGUCGAUGGGAAGCAGGUAAAUAUUCCUGCACCAGCUGGAAGUGACGGAUGGCGUAAGUUGUCAGGGCUUAUUGGAUUGUCCUGGCAGCGAAGCUGUCCCUGGAAAUAACUCCAGCAGAGACCGUACCCGAAACCGACACAGGUGGGCAGGUAGAGUAUACCAAGGCGCUUGAGAGAACCGCGUUGAAGGAACUCGGCAAAAUACCCCCGUAACUUCGGGAUAAGGGGGCCCUUGCAUUGGGCAACCAGUGUGAGGGGGCACGGAAACGAGGGUGGCGACUGUUUACUAAAAACACAGGGCUCUGCGAAGUGGCUAACACGACGUAUAGGGUCUGACGCCUGCCCGGUGCCGGAAGGUUAAUUGAUGGGGUU
This 541-nucleotide ribosomal RNA is filed under the name Prymnesium parvum. RNAcentral describes it as "partial Bacterial large subunit ribosomal RNA". It matches the Rfam family "Bacterial large subunit ribosomal RNA", at positions 1244 to 1891 of the family's 2925-position model. The record is from RNAcentral. Lineage: Eukaryota; Haptophyta; Prymnesiales; Prymnesiaceae.